UUGAACGCUGGCGGCAUGCUUUACACCUGCAAGUCGAACGGUAACAGGCCGCAAGGUGCUGACGAGUGGCGAACGGGUGAGUAAUGCAUCGGAACGUGCCCAGUCGUGGGGGAUAACUACUCGAAAUAGUAGCUAAUACCGCAUACGACCUAUGGAUGAACGCGGGGGACCGUAAGGCCUCGCGCGAUUGGACCGGCCGAUGUCAGAUUAGGUAGUUGGUGGGGUAAAGGCUCACCAAGCCAACGAUCUGUAGCUGGUCUGAGAGGACGACCAGCCACACUGGGACUGAGACACGGCCCAGACUCCUACGGGAGGCAGCAGUGGGGAAUUUUGGACAAUGGGCGCAAGCCUGAUCCAGCAAUGCCGCGUGCAGGAAGAAGGCCUUCGGGUUGUAAACUGCUUUUGUACGGAACGAAACGGCUCUGGUUAAUACCCGGGGCUAAUGACGGUACCGUAAGAAUAAGCACCGGCUAACUACGUG
This 481-nucleotide ribosomal RNA is filed under the name uncultured bacterium. RNAcentral's name for it is "partial 16S ribosomal RNA". It matches the Rfam family "Bacterial small subunit ribosomal RNA", at positions 30 to 507 of the family's 1533-position model. The record is from RNAcentral.